GCCGGGCACAGUGGCGCGCGCGCCUGUAGUCCCAGCUAGUCCCAGCUACUCGGAAGGCUGAGGCAGGAGGAUCACUUGAGCCCAGUAGUUCUGGGCUGUAGUGCGCUAUGCCGAUCCGGUGUCCGCACUAAAUUCGGCAUCAAUAUGGUGACCUCCCGGGAGCUGGGGACCACCAGGUUGCCUAAGGAGGGGUGAACCAGCCCAGGUCGGAAACGGAGCAGGUCAAAAUGGAAUUAUACAGUAAAUAUUACUCCUCUUUAUAACAGUAUUCCAUGAACAUAUCUUUAUGUGAUUAACUAUACUUCC
RNAcentral lists this signal recognition particle RNA (306 nucleotides) under Pteropus alecto (black flying fox). Its description in RNAcentral is "Metazoan signal recognition particle RNA". It matches the Rfam family "Metazoan signal recognition particle RNA". Rfam says of the family: The signal recognition particle (SRP) is a universally conserved ribonucleoprotein. It is involved in the co-translational targeting of proteins to membranes. The eukaryotic SRP consists of a 300-nucleotide 7S RNA and six proteins: SRPs 72, 68, 54, 19, 14, and 9. The record is from Rfam by way of RNAcentral. Lineage: Eukaryota; Metazoa; Chordata; Mammalia; Chiroptera; Pteropodidae.